Molecule: ribosomal RNA, 253 nt
Filed under: uncultured prokaryote
Description: partial 16S ribosomal RNA
Rfam family: Bacterial small subunit ribosomal RNA
Source: RNAcentral
ACGAGGGGGGCAAGCGUUGUUCGGAAUUAUUGGGCGUAAAGGGCUCGUAGGCGGCCAACUAAGUCGGACGUGAAAUCCCUCGGCUCAACCGGGGAACUGCGUCCGAUACUGGAUGGCUUGAAUCCGGGAGAGGGAUGCGGAAUUCCAGGUGUAGCGGUGAAAUGCGUAGAUAUCUGGAGGAGCACCGGUGGCGAAGGCGGCAUCCUGGACCGGCAUUGACGCUGAGGAGCGAAAGCCAGGGGAGCAAACGGGA